RNAcentral lists this long non-coding RNA (390 nucleotides) under Phasianus colchicus (ring-necked pheasant). Its description in RNAcentral is "lncRNA (ENSPCLG00000003056.1)". Lineage: Eukaryota; Metazoa; Chordata; Aves; Galliformes; Phasianidae. The record is from RNAcentral.
UAUCCCCUAUCAUCCACUGUUGUGAAUAAUCAAGGUUUAGGUAACAAAUAGAACAUUGUUGCAAGAAAGCAUUUGAACUCUCAAUGGUUAUUUAUUCAUUCUGACAUAUACAGAAACAUUUAUUCCUCUUUCCCAAAUACAGAAACAAUGAAAUUCAGGAAAAGACUUGGGUACCUAAAUUAAGGCAAAAUACCAAGAUUGAGAGCAGACCCUGAAGUCCACAGCCAACCUUUCCCAGACAUUCUCUUUAGACCUCUAUGGAUGUCAACAUAGCAGACUUACUCAGAAAGGUGCAUGAGCUCAUUCCUAGGCUGACUUCUUGUCAUCUUUGUCUCUUUUUAUGCUUCUAAUGGCAAUUACCUAUACAAAACUGACAUACCAUGGAACAGU